CGCGUAGGCUGUGCUGUAAGUCAGGCGUGAAAUCCCCGGGCUCAACCUGGGAAUUGCGUUUGAUACUGCGGCGCUGGAAUGCAGGAGAGGAUGGCGGAAUUCCCAGUGUAGAGGUGAAAUUCGUAGAUAUUGGGAAGAACACCGGUGGCGAAGGCGGCCAUCUGGCCUGUAAUUGACGCUGAGGCGCGAAAGCGUGGGGAGCAAACA
This 207-nucleotide ribosomal RNA is filed under the name uncultured bacterium. RNAcentral's name for it is "partial 16S ribosomal RNA". It matches the Rfam family "Bacterial small subunit ribosomal RNA", at positions 568 to 774 of the family's 1533-position model. The record is from RNAcentral.